RNAcentral lists this ribosomal RNA (440 nucleotides) under uncultured bacterium. RNAcentral describes it as "partial 16S ribosomal RNA". It matches the Rfam family "Bacterial small subunit ribosomal RNA", at positions 338 to 795 of the family's 1533-position model. The record is from RNAcentral.
CCUACGGGCGGCAGCAGUAGGGAAUUUUUCACAAUGGGCGAAAGCCUGAUGGAGCAACGCCGCGUGCAGGAUGAAGGCCUUCGGGUUGUAAACUGCUUUUAUAAGCGAGAAAUAUGAUGGUAACUUAUGAAUAAGGAUCGGCUAACUACGUGCCAGCAGCCGCGGUAAUACGUAUGGUGCAAGCGUUAUCCGGAUUUACUGGGUGUAAAGGGAGCGCAGGCGGCACGGCAAGCCUGAUGUGAAAGCCCGCGGCCCAACCGCGGGACUGCAUUGGGAACUACCGGGCUGGAGUGCCGGAGAGGUAGGCGGAAUUCCUAGUGUAGAGGUGAAAUGCGUAGAUAUUAGGAGGAACACCAGUGGCGAAGGCGGCCUACUGGACGGUGACUGACGCUGAGGCUCGAAAGCGUGGGGAGCAAACAGGAUUAGAUACCCGGGUAGUC